Molecule: long non-coding RNA, 596 nt
Organism: Monodelphis domestica (gray short-tailed opossum)
Lineage: Eukaryota; Metazoa; Chordata; Mammalia; Didelphimorphia; Didelphidae
Source: RefSeq, a predicted model, not a curated record
UUGAGGAUAGGGAUUGUCUUUGUUUCUGCUUUAUCCCAGAGCUUGGUACAGUAUCCAACUCUUCAUGACCCCAUUUGAGGUUUUAUUGGCAGAGAUACUUGGAGUGGCUUGUCAUUUCCUUCUUGAGAUCAUUUUACAGAAAAGGAAACUGGGUGAAGUGACUUGCCCAGGAUCGAACAGCUAAGUUUCUGAUCGCAGAUUUGAAUGCAGGAUGCUGAGUCUUCCUGAUUCCAAACCCAGUGCUCUGUGGACUGUACCACCUAAGCUGCCCAGCUGGUACAAAGUGGGAAAGAUCCUUAUCCUGGUCCCUGAGUGAGAUCUCGAUCAUUUGGGGCAAUAGCAGGAAUAUUGCUGCUAGAUCUUAGACACAGAAUGGACUCCCCAUUCCCCACUCCCCUCCUCUGUCAGGGUCAGGCACAAGGAGGGCCCUGCUCCUAAAACCUCAGGCCUGAAGACAGACUUUGAGCCCACCCUAGCCACUACCUGCACCUCUAAGGAGGGGAAAGGGGGAGCAUCUUUCCGGAGGGUAACCUGCUGAUCCCAAGAGAGGAAUUUUCAGUCUUAUUGGAGUCACUGUCUCAUCAAGCUCUAUCCAG